Molecule: unclassified non-coding RNA, 370 nt
Filed under: soil metagenome
Description: partial contains 5.8S ribosomal RNA, internal transcribed spacer 2, and large subunit ribosomal RNA
Rfam family: 5.8S ribosomal RNA (bases 1-120)
Source: RNAcentral
GAUGAAGAACGUAGCGAAAUGCGAUAAGUAAUGUGAAAUGCAGAAUUCAGUGAACCAUCGAAUCUUUGAACGCACAUUGCGCCCGGCAGUAAUCUGCCGGGCAUGCCUGUCCGAGCGUCAUUUCUACCCUCGAGCGAGUCCAGCAUCUAGGUGCUGGGCCUCGCCCGGCGUUGGAGCACUACGGGAAGCCCUGUGCUGUCCCCCGUAGGCCCCGAAAUGAAGUGGCGGUCCUGCCGCGGCGCCCCCUGCGUAGUAUAACAGCUCGCUUCGGGACCCGGUGGAGGCCUGCCGUCAAACCUAUACUCUCUAAGUUUGACCUCGGAUCAGGUAGGGUUACCCGCUGAACUUAAGCAUAUCAAUAAGCGGAGGA